UACGUAGGGAGCAAGCGUUGUCCGGAAUCAUUGGGCGUAAAGCGCGCGUAGGCGGCCCUGUAAGUCCGUUGUGAAAGUCAAAGGCUCAACCUUUGAAAGCCGGUGGAUACUGUCGGGCUUGAGUACGGAAGAGGCGAGUGGAAUUCCUGGUGUAGCGGUGGAAUGCGCAGAUAUCAGGAGGAACACCGGUGGCGAAGGCGGGUCUCUGGGCUGUAACUGACGCUGAGGAGCGAAAGCGUGGGUAGCGAACAGG
RNAcentral lists this ribosomal RNA (253 nucleotides) under uncultured bacterium. RNAcentral describes it as "partial 16S ribosomal RNA". It matches the Rfam family "Bacterial small subunit ribosomal RNA", at positions 524 to 776 of the family's 1533-position model. The record is from RNAcentral.